This is a long non-coding RNA of Tympanuchus pallidicinctus (lesser prairie-chicken), 3684 nucleotides long. RefSeq lists it as uncharacterized. The record is from RefSeq and is a predicted model, not a curated record. Lineage: Eukaryota; Metazoa; Chordata; Aves; Galliformes; Phasianidae. The transcript has 6 exons.
GUUCUGGUAGCACAGGUGAAGGCAAUUGACCUGUGCUACUGGAAGGGGGUGGAUCCUUGCUCCACCUAUCCUGGACCCCAUUUAAGAGCUGACUACCACUGGGAAAGGCUCUUUUUUCCAGAUGGUUCCCCUUGGAAUCUUCUCAGCAAGCCCAGGAUGGGGGGUGCUUCAAAUGGUGCAUCAAAGUAUGACAGUAACAAGGUCUCCUGAAGAGCUGUGGGGAUAAAAUUUCAGAGGUCCUGUUGCUUUUAUGUCUGCUGCAGCUGGCUAGGAGUGGAGUAGCUUGUUAUUAAAAAAAAAGCUGACUUCUUAAUGGCUGAUGACAACUCAACUCUUUCAAGGCAAAAGGAGGGACUGUUCCAGCUGGUAUGUGGCAACCUGGAAUACCUGCAACAAGCAAGCUGGCCCUUACCUUCUGCUUAGCAAGCUAAAUAGCAGGCAGUAUUGCCUGUAAUUAUGACAGGACGUCUCUUCCCAUGAUCUGCUGAGCACAUGAGAAACUAAGGGACAAUCGUGAAAAUGUUGGUUGGAAAGAGUCCAGCUUGGCUGGAGCAAGUCUCAUACCACCAGUAGCUCAAAGAAGCCAUGGCUGUUUCCAUAAAUCUUCAGGAAUGUUGCAGAUCAUUCCUACGGCUGGAAAAGGGAUUACGGCUGAAGAAAAAGAGUGGUGGCCUGUGUCACCUGUUCCAGUUUCAGUGUGCCUAAUAACUGACGAAACCAACAGAACUUUUGGGCUCUUCUGACUAGGAAUGAACAUGGAACAGAAGGUGGAUGGGAGAAUAAAGCUCAUCUUUGUAAUGCUUAGUCUACAAUUUGUACAGCUGACCCAAGGUAUGAGGUGAAGGAUGCAUAGCUCAAUGUCAAAUAAUUUAGUGCAAGUCAGUAAUAGUCAUAUUCCAUUUUCCUUGCCACAUCAAAUCUUACAGAAUUUAGCUUAAGGUAGUUUUGCAGCUGAGAAACUUCAGCAUUCAUUGUUCCCUAUUUAUUUAGGUUUUUAUUCAGGAUUUUACUCAGUUUUUAUUAUCUACUACUGCCUAUAAAAAUAGAGUAAACUGAAUACCUUUGAUAGCUUAACACAUAAAAUUUGCAUUUCAGGUUCAUUUCAGUUUUUGUCACAUAUUUGUAUGACCAAAUGACGAUACUUGCUAUGUUUAUAAAAUCAAUAUAGCCUCAUAAAGGAGAGAUUUUUUUUCAUUUACUACAGAAGCUGUUACUGUUCAUUAUACAAAAGAAUUAUAAAUGUAUUGCUUUUCCUUACUGCUGGUUUUUCCCUUACAUUUUUCUUUUUUAUUUCUCCACCAAAAUUCCUUUCAACAGAAGAGAGCAGAGGUAUGUAAGAUAUCUAAAAAUGUCGCCAGUAAAGCAAGAAAUUGUUAGUAGGCUUUUUCUGCUUUCUGUGAUAGGAUCUGGUCCAUCAACUUCUAAAUACUAGGCAGUGAUUCUGAACACUACUGAUGAAUUUCAUGUCCUGUUAAAAGGGCUUUUUCUGCCAAGUCUACUUAUUGGUUUGCUUGUCAUCAAAAUUCAACUGAGGAUGUGGAGAUCCUUCUCCAUCUAAAUAAAAGGAUUAAAAUAGUCACUUUAGCAAAAGAUCAAGUGAUUACAAGUAUAAGAAUUGUACCCACCAUAAUCCGAGGCAGUAAUUUGACCUUAAAGUACUGCAUCCCACCAGGUUUGAUAAUGAUAGAAUACUGAAUGUUCAUACUCUACAGGAGCAUGCUUCUACAGGAAGGUUCACCAACAUCUGCUUCUGCCAUUGUGGGCCAAUAUAAUUAAAUAAGAGGCAUUACUUUUUGAGCAGCUUUAUUAUAUCCUGUGACACUUCAUAGCUUUAUUUUUCCCCCCAGUUUCUAAUAGAGAACACAACAGUAACAUUCUGGAAGUUCCAACAAAACAAAUCAGUCUGUCUCAUGUCACAUGUUGAUGGGCUGAGUUAAGUGUUGCCAUUAACUUCAGCUAACAGAAACGUGGUGCAGCAGGCACCAGCCACGCACCUGCUUGAUUUUGUUCCAGACCUCCCACAAGCUUCUCAGCUAUGCUUCUGACAUAUGCUGUCUUUCCACUGGCAAAGCAUCUCCUUGGUUUUGAGCUACAGUAAUACCGGCCAUCCAACUUUUACAAAUUCAGAUACAUUGUCUGACUAAAUGCAUGAAAGAGAAGUUGUGCGUGAGUUAAUUACUCCUAGAAAAUAUAAUGUGGCAUUUGACAAGACAAGGCAAAGAAACUUCCUGUUCCUAAUGAUGUAUUUCUGAGUCUUCAUAUGAUCAGAAGGGAUUUAAGUUACUAAAGCAUCAUGAUGACCUAAAAGAGAAUUAAGUAGUGUUUGUAAGCUGUGGUAUUUGGACUGUUUCAAGUUUGAGAUUUAUUUGUUUGUGGGAUGUUUCGUUUUUAUUUUUAAGUGCUAUUUUUUUGAGAAUCAAGCAAAGCAUAGGGCUAGAUAAAGAUCAAAAAAAAUAUAUCUUUCAGAUAGAUAGGGAUUUUUUUGUUGUCAAUACCGUUUUUUUUCCUGCUGGAUACAAGCUGGAUAUUUUCAAGCUAUUGAUUUAUAUAUGCAUGCACAUUGAUUUACAUUUGUACAUUUAUACGUAUUGAUAUAUAUAAAUGUAUAUAUGUGACUACAGACUGUUUAAAUUGUUUUCUACUUGCUAAGUACUGUUCAGUUCCUGCUAGAAGUAAAUUAGCAAAUAUAUUAAAUAGAUCAUGUAAAAAAAAGAGAAUGCGUAAUUUCCUUUUGCCAGUUUUUAGUUUUCAUAAUACUUAUUCAUUUUUCAAUUUACAUUUAUACUUGAUCUGUUCUUUGUUGUCUGACUUACUGUUUUAUACUAAAUGCUAACAACAGCAAAACUUUACCUGUUUAAAAAUAAAGUGAGAAAAACAAAAGCAAAGAUUUUCUUGCAAAUACAAACAUAUCAUAUUAUUGUUCUCAAUUUACAUUGACACCCACUGAGAAACUGGAGGUGAAUUUAAGUCAUUAGUUUUUCAUACAUGUUUUUACUGAUGCUUUUAACUUUCCCUGUUUAGCCACAGCUACUUGAGAUGCCUCCCACAUUCAGUGUAGAAAGCACACUGUUAACUAACUUCUUGUUUAAAUGAAAGGCUAUGCUGACAAUUAAAUGUGGGAUCAUGCAUGCUUCAGUGCCAUACCUUAUUACAAUCAACGUGAGUAGAAGCAGAGUGCUGAAAUUAUGGGUUUUAGUCUGCAUCUGCAUGGCAUUAUUAUGCUUAUCAAGGUGAAAAUGUCGACACUGAAGAAUAUAAUUGUGUACCUUAAGCUGCAGCAAUAUUUAAACUGAAUUCCUGCCUUCACUAUUAAUGCAUCAGAGCACUACUCUUAAGAGACGCUAUAACUGAAAGCACAGCUUUCAGUUCAUGAAUUUAUUUUGUUUCUUGCUUUUUUUUUUUUUUUUUUUUUUUUUUUAAGAUUUUCCUAUAUAAAGACUUUGUUUGUAUAUUAAUUCAAUAUAGAUUUUCUAGUGCAUUUUUUUUUUCCCUUUUAACAAUGUCAGAGACCAGAGAGAAUAGUGUACACUUCUAUAUUGCUCCACUGCCCUCCAGAAGGUCAAGUGUGAAAUGGGUUCAGAGACAUAUUGACAGUUCAUGCGUGAGCUGCAACAAGUUAAGCUAGUUAUCAUUAAGUUGGAUCUGUGGCUGUAGUCUUCAUUCUUAUUAUACCAAAUCAAAUAA